This 621-nucleotide ribosomal RNA is filed under the name uncultured bacterium. RNAcentral's name for it is "bacterial SSU rRNA". It matches the Rfam family "Bacterial small subunit ribosomal RNA", at positions 66 to 664 of the family's 1533-position model. The record is from RNAcentral.
ACGGAGAACUUAUUUCGGUAAGUUCUUAGUGGCGAACGGGUGAGUAACGCGUGGGCAACCUGCCCUCCAGUUGGGGACAACAUUCCGAAAGGGAUGCUAAUACCGAAUGUGCUCCCUCCUCCGCAUGGAGGAGGGAGGAAAGAUGGCCUCUGCUUGCAAGCUAUCGCUGGAAGAUGGGCCCGCGUCUGAUUAGCUAGUUGGUGGGGUAACGGCUCACCAAGGCGAUGAUCAGUAGCCGGUCUGAGAGGAUGAACGGCCACAUUGGGACUGAGACACGGCCCAAACUCCUACGGGAGGCAGCAGUGGGGAAUCUUCCGCAAUGGACGAAAGUCUGACGGAGCAACGCCGCGUGAGUGAUGAAGGUCUUCGGAUUGUAAAACUCUGUUGUUAGGGACGAAAGCACCGUGUUCGAACAGGUCAUGGUGUUGACGGUACCUAACGAGGAAGCCACGGCUAACUACGUGCCAGCAGCCGCGGUAAUACGUAGGUGGCAAGCGUUGUCCGGAAUUAUUGGGCGUAAAGAGCAUGUAGGCGGGCUUUUAAGUCUGACGUGAAAAUGCGGGGCUUAACCCCGUAUGGCGUUGGAUACUGGAAAGUCUUGAGUGCAGGAGAGGAAAGGGG